CGCCUGUUUAUUAAAAACAUAGUUUUUAUAUUUAAUUAAAAAUUUAAUCUGCCCAUUGAAUAAUUUUUAAAGGCCGCAAUAUUUUAAUUGUGCUAAGGUAGCAUAAUAAUUAGGUUUAUAAUUUAAAUCUAGAAUGAAAGAUUAAAUGAAAAAAUAUCUUUUUUAUUUUUAUUAUUUUAAUUUUAUAUUUAAGUUAAAAAGCUUAAAUUUAUAAAUUAGACGAGAAGACCCUAUAGAAUUUAAUUAAUAUUUAUAUAUAUAUUAUAUAUAUAUAUAAUUAAUUUGGUUGGGGAGAUUUUAAAAUUUAAUAAACUUUUAUAAAAAUUUCAUUAAUUUUUGUUUAAUUGAUCUUAUUAUAUAGAUUUUUAAUUUAAAUUACCUUAGGGAUAACAGCAUAAUUUUAAAAAAAAGUACUUAUUUUUUUUAAUGUUUAUGACCUCGAUGUUGGAUUAAAUGAAUUUUAAUUGAAGAUAAUUAAUUAAUUUAGUCUGUUCGACUAAUAGA
RNAcentral lists this ribosomal RNA (504 nucleotides) under Illiciomyia yukawai. Its description in RNAcentral is "partial large subunit ribosomal RNA". Lineage: Eukaryota; Metazoa; Arthropoda; Insecta; Diptera; Cecidomyiidae. The record is from RNAcentral.